UAGGGAAUCUUCCGCAAUGGACGAAAGUCUGACGGAGCAACGCCGCGUGAGUGAAGAAGGAUUUCGGUUUGUAAAACUCUGUUGUUAGGGAAGAAAAAAUGUAUAGUAACUAUAUACAAAAGAGACGGUACCUAACCAGAAAGCCACGGCUAACUACGUGCCAGCAGCCGCGGUAAUACGUAGGUGGCAAGCGUUGUCCGGAAUUAUUGGGCGUAAAGCGCGCGCAGGUGGUUUAGAAAGUCUGAUGUGAAAGCCCACGGCUCAACCGUGGAGGGUCAUUGGAAACUAAUAAACUUGAGUGAAGGAGAGAAGAGUGGAAUUCCUAGUGUAGCGGUGAAAUGCGUAGAGAUUAGGAGGAACACCGGUGGCGAAAGCGGCUUUUUGGCCUGCAACUGACACUGAGGCGCGAAAGCGUGGGGAGCGAACAGG
Molecule: ribosomal RNA, 429 nt
Filed under: Verrucomicrobiota bacterium
Lineage: Bacteria; Pseudomonadati; Verrucomicrobiota
Description: Verrucomicrobia bacterium partial 16S ribosomal RNA
Rfam family: Bacterial small subunit ribosomal RNA
Source: RNAcentral